AUUAAAAACCAAUGCCCUUCGGGGCUCUUUGGUGAUUCAGAAUAACUUCUCGAAUCGCAUGGCCUUGCGCCGGCGAUGGUUCAUUCAAAUUUCUGCCCUAUCAACUUUCGAUGGCAGGGUCUUGGCCUGCCAUGGUUAAGACGGGUAACGGAGGGUUAGGGCUCGACCCCGGAGAAGGAGCCUGAGAAACGGCUACUACAUCCAAGGAAGGCAGCAGGCGCGCAAAUUACCCAAUCCCGACUCGGGGAGGUAGUGACAAUAAAUACUGAUACAGGGCUCUUUUGGGUCUUGUAAUUGGAAUGAGUACAAUUUAAAUCCCUUAAUGAGGAACAAUUGGAGGGCAAGUCUGGUGCCAGCAGCCGCGGUAAUUCCAGCUCCAAUAGCGUAUAUUAAAGUUGUUGCAGUUAAAAAGCUCGUAGUUGAACCUUGGGCCUGGCUGGCCGGUCCGCCUCACCGCGUGCACUGGUUCGGCCGGGCCUUUCCCUCUGGGGAGCCGCAUGCCCUUCACUGGGUGUGUC
Molecule: ribosomal RNA, 518 nt
Filed under: uncultured fungus
Lineage: Eukaryota; Fungi
Description: SSU rRNA
Rfam family: Eukaryotic small subunit ribosomal RNA
Source: RNAcentral